Long non-coding RNA from Gallus gallus (chicken), 746 nucleotides. RefSeq lists it as uncharacterized. Lineage: Eukaryota; Metazoa; Chordata; Aves; Galliformes; Phasianidae. The transcript is spliced from 3 exons. The record is from RefSeq and is a predicted model, not a curated record.
CAACCAGCAUAUAGCAGAUACAGCAGACACAGGCAAGACAAAGUUUGGACAUAUUUCAAAACUUGGAUGUGAAUAUUAUAGACGAUUGCUCCUGCCAAAAUCCAGGUAGUCAAUACAAAACACCAAGAUACUAUUGGAGUUACCACUGCAAGUUCAAUAUUGCACAAAGCUGACCUAGGAAGAUGGGAUGCUUCACUGCUUUCAGAUGAGCCUUUCACUGUCACAGUCAAUGGCCAGGAACAGAAUAAGCUCUGGAGAGCUGGAGAAACACAUUUGGAGCCAAGUAGAGGAAACAAGAGGGACCACAGAGGAACCUGUGCUACUUCUCAAUAGAAGAACAAAAGGAAACAGAUCAUCUGGCGGUACACCAAUGAACAAAUCAAAUUGCUACUGUUUAAAAUGAUGUUUGGGUUUCUGUCCAGUAUGUUGUGUUUGUUCUCUUCAGCUGAAGAAAACAAAGUAUCAAAAAGUACUAUCCAUAUCACCACACUCAUAAUUACAAAAAAAAAAAAAAAAAAAAAAAAAAAAAAAAAGUCUGAAGUCCACUUUGGCAAUACAGUAAAAAGCUCCAAUGAAGCAGACAGCAUACGACAAUUAGAUAGCCUUUACUAUAAUCCUAUGAUCUCCAGGAAUUAAGGUAAAGAGCAGACUUUUGUUAAUACCUGCUAAUACAGGAUCUGUAAUCACAUAGGAACAGAGGUAGAACAUUCUGCAACAUGUCAAGACAAAGAAUUAUUCAGAAAACU